This 429-nucleotide ribosomal RNA is filed under the name Chloroflexota bacterium. RNAcentral's name for it is "Chloroflexi bacterium partial 16S ribosomal RNA". It matches the Rfam family "Bacterial small subunit ribosomal RNA", at positions 355 to 776 of the family's 1533-position model. The record is from RNAcentral. Lineage: Bacteria; Bacillati; Chloroflexota.
UGGGGAAUAUUGCACAAUGGGCGCAAGCCUGAUGCAGCCAUGCCGCGUGUGUGAAGAAGGCCUUCGGGUUGUAAAGCACUUUCAGCGGGGAGGAAGGCGAUAAGGUUAAUAACCUUGUCGAUUGACGUUACCCGCAGAAGAAGCACCGGCUAACUCCGUGCCAGCAGCCGCGGUAAUACGGAGGGUGCAAGCAUUAAUCGGAAUUACUGGGCGUAAAGCGCACGCAGGCGGUUUGUUAAGUCAGAUGUGAAAUCCCCGGGCUCAACCUGGGAACUGCAUCUGAUACUGGCAAGCUUGAGGCUCGUAGAGGGGGGUAGAAUUCCAGGUGUAGCGGUGAAAUGCGUAGAGAUCUGGAGGAAUACCGGUGGCGAAGGCGGCCCCCUGGACAAAGACUGACGCUCAGGUGCGAAAGCGUGGGGAGCAAACAGG